Molecule: long non-coding RNA, 433 nt
Filed under: Mytilus galloprovincialis (Mediterranean mussel)
Lineage: Eukaryota; Metazoa; Mollusca; Bivalvia; Mytilida; Mytilidae
Source: RNAcentral
AAAAUUUCAGUGAUUUGAUACCUCAAGUUGACUUAUAUGAUAAAAUUAUUUUAACGCGUCAACAAAAUUUCCGUGAUUUGAUACCUCAACAAUCAUGACAAUGCUGAAGCUGACUCAUAUAAUAAAAUUAUUUUUACACGUCAACAAAAUUUCAGUGAUUUGAUACCUCAAGCUGACUCAUAUGAUAAAAUUAUUUUAACGCGUAAACAAAAUUUCAGUGAUUUGAUACCUCAACAAUGCUGAAGCUGACUCAUAAAUAAAAAUUAUUUUAACACAUAAACAAAAUUUCAGUGAUUUGAUACCUCAAGCUGACUCAUAUGAUAAAAUUAUUUUAACGCGUCAACAAAAUUUCAGUGAUUUGAUACCUCAACAAUGCUGAAGCUGACUCAUAUAAUAAAAUUAGUUUAACACGUAAACAAAAUUUCAGUGAUUU